GCCCCCAUAGACUAGUGGUUAGGUCACGUCCCUUUCAAGGACGUAGGACGGGUUCGAAUCCCGUUGGGGGCACCA
Molecule: transfer RNA, 75 nt
Filed under: Elusimicrobia bacterium RIFCSPLOWO2_01_FULL_59_12
Lineage: Bacteria; Pseudomonadati; Elusimicrobiota
Description: tRNA-Glu
Rfam family: tRNA
About the family: Transfer RNA (tRNA) molecules are approximately 80 nucleotides in length. Their secondary structure includes four short double-helical elements and three loops (D, anti-codon, and T loops).
Source: RNAcentral